CUAUGCGCCUUGCCAGCCCGCUCAGGUGUGCCAGCAGCCGCGGUAAUACGUAGGUGGCAAGCGUUGUCCGGAUUUACUGGGUGUAAAGGGCGUGCAGCCGGAGAGACAAGUCAGAUGUGAAAUCCACGGGCUCAACUCGUGAACUGCAUUUGAAACUGUUUCCCUUGAGUGUCGGAGAGGUAAUCGGAAUUCCUUGUGUAGCGGUGAAAUGCGUAGAUAUAAGGAAGAACACCAGUGGCGAAGGCGGAUUACUGGACGAUAACUGACGGUGAGGCGCGAAAGCGUGGGGAGCAAACAGG
RNAcentral lists this ribosomal RNA (299 nucleotides) under uncultured bacterium. Its description in RNAcentral is "partial 16S ribosomal RNA". It matches the Rfam family "Bacterial small subunit ribosomal RNA", at positions 475 to 776 of the family's 1533-position model. The record is from RNAcentral.